Molecule: unclassified non-coding RNA, 247 nt
Filed under: uncultured Ascomycota
Lineage: Eukaryota; Fungi; Ascomycota
Description: sequence contains ITS2
Source: RNAcentral
AACGCACAUUGCGCCCCCUGGCAUUCCGGGGGGCAUGCCUGUCCGAGCGUCAUUGCAACCCUCAAGCGCGGCUUGUUGUUGGGCUCUCGUCCCCCCGUGAACGUGCCCGAAAGGCAGUGGCGGUACCGUGCUCCGGUGCCUGAGCGUAUGGGCUUUAUCACCCGCUCCAGGCCCGGCCGGUUCUGGCCUACCAACCCCAAUUUUCUAGGUUGACCUCGGAUCAGGUAGGGAUACCCGCUGAACUUAA